RNAcentral lists this non-coding RNA (21 nucleotides) under Caenorhabditis elegans. Lineage: Eukaryota; Metazoa; Nematoda; Chromadorea; Rhabditida; Rhabditidae. The record is from RNAcentral.
UCUAUUGGAUACCUCCAUUGU